GACGAACGCUGGCGGCGUGCUUAACACAUGCCAGUCGAACGGAAAGGCCCUGCUUUUGUGGGGUGCUCGAGUGGCGAAAGGGUGAGUAACACGUGAGUAACCUGCCCUUGACUUUGGGAUAACUUCAGGAAACUGGGGCUAAUACCGGAUAGGAGCUCCUGCUGCAUGGUGGGGGUUGGAAAGUUUCGGCGGUUGGGGAUGGACUCGCGGCUUAUCAGCUUGUUGGUGGGGUAGUGGCUUACCAAGGCUUUGACGGGUAGCCGGCCUGAGAGGGUGACCGGCCACAUGGGGACUAAGAGACGGCCCAGACUCCUACGGGAGGCAGCAGUGGGGAAUAUUGCACAAUGGGCGGAAGCCUGAUGCAGCAACGCCGCGUGCGGGAUGACGGCCUUCGGGUUGUAAACCGCUUUCGCCUGUGACGAAGCGUGAGUGACGGUAAUGGGUAAAGAAGCACCGGCUAACUACGUG
This 468-nucleotide ribosomal RNA is filed under the name uncultured bacterium. RNAcentral describes it as "partial 16S ribosomal RNA". It matches the Rfam family "Bacterial small subunit ribosomal RNA", at positions 28 to 507 of the family's 1533-position model. The record is from RNAcentral.